This is a non-coding RNA of Paramisgurnus dabryanus, 681 nucleotides long. NCBI's taxonomy places the organism in Eukaryota, Metazoa, Chordata, Actinopteri, Cypriniformes, Cobitidae. The record is from RefSeq and is a predicted model, not a curated record.
UGGCUCCUGUUUGCUGUAGGUUGUUUUAAUUCUCCUUGACCUCUCUGCUGCCUUUGACACUAGACUACAAGAUCUUACUGACCCCCAUCAAACUUUGGGGAUCACUCGACUCCACUGUACUCAACUGGUUCAACUCGAAUCUAACAGGCUGAUCUUUCAAGGAAAACCUGGUAGGAGAGACGUACAGGUCACAUCAGCUGAUGACUGGGGUUCCACAAGACAUCUUUUUUUGAAAGAAGAAAUGCCACCUUGAACCUAGCCAAGAGUGAACUCCUGGUAAUCCUUGUCAAACCAUCAACAGAACAGCACACACUUCUCCUUUCAACUCGAUCCUCAACUUCAACACCUGUCUGUGAGGAACCUGACGGUGGUGUUCGAUGACCGGAAGAAAUGUAUUGACCACAUCACAGCAACCAAUUGUAACUACAAGAUCUUACGGACCCUCAUCCAACUUUGGGUAUCACUCGACUCCACUGUACUCAACUGGUUCAACUCAAAUCUAACAGGCUGAUCUUUCAAGGAAAACCUGGGAGGAGGCAUCCAGGUCACACCAGCUGACCACUGGGGUUCCACAAGAAAUGCCAACUUCAACCUAGCCAAGAGUGAACUUGUGGUAAUCCUUGUCAACCCAUCAACUGAACACCACUCAAUUCUCCUUUCAACUCGAUCCUCAACUCCAAC